Molecule: ribosomal RNA, 1319 nt
Filed under: uncultured organism
Description: bacterial SSU rRNA
Rfam family: Bacterial small subunit ribosomal RNA
Source: RNAcentral
ACACAUGCAAGUCGAGGGGCAGUCCCGCUUUCGGGCGGGAGCGACCGGCGCACGGGUGAGUAACGCGUAUGCAACCUUCCUUUAACUGGGGAAUAGCCCGGAGAAAUUCGGAUUAAUGCCCCAUAAAGUCCCGAUAACGCAUGUUUUCGGGAUUAAAGCUCCGGCGGUUAAAGAUGGGCAUGCGUACCAUUAGCUUGUUGGUGAGGUAAAAGCUCACCAAGGCAACGAUGGUUAGGGGGUCUGAGAGGAUGAUCCCCCACACUGGUACUGAGACACGGACCAGACUCCUACGGGAGGCAGCAGUGAGGAAUAUUGGGCAAUGGGCGCAAGCCUGACCCAGCCAUGCCGCGUGAAGGAUGACGGCCCUAUGGGUUGUAAACUUCUUUUAUACGGGACGAAACUCCUGAUCGUGAUCGGGAUUGACUGUACCGUACGAAUAAGCAUCGGCUAACUCCGUGCCAGCAGCCGCGGUAAUACGGAGGAUGCAAGCGUUAUCCGGAUUCAUUGGGUUUAAAGGGUGCGUAGGCGGAAUAGCAAGUCAGUGGUGAAAGCCUGCGGCUUAACCGUAGAAUUGCCAUUGAUACUGUUAUUCUUGAGUGCAGUUGAGGUGGGCGGAAUGUGUAGUGUAGCGGUGAAAUGCAUAGAUAUUACACAGAACACCGAUUGCGAAGGCAGCUCACUAAACUGGUACUGACGCUGAGGCACGAAAGCGUGGGGAGCAAACAGGAUUAGAUACCCUGGUAGUCCACGCUGUAAACUAUGAUCACUCGUUGUUGGCGAUACACUGUCAGCGACUGAGCGAAAGCAUUAAGUGAUCCACCUGGGGAGUACGGCGGCAACGCUGAAACUCAAAGGAAUUGACGGGGGCCCGCACAAGCGGAGGAACAUGUGGUUUAAUUCGAUGAUACGCGAGGAACCUUACCUGGGCUUGAAAGGGGAACGACCUCCCGGGAAACCGGGAUUCUCUUCGGAGCGUUCUCCUAGGUGCUGCAUGGUUGUCGUCAGCUCGUGCCGUGAGGUGUCGGGUUAAGUCCCAUAACGAGCGCAACCCCUAUUGUUAGUUGCCAGCGGGUGAUGCCGGGAACUCUAACGAAACUGCCGGUGUAAACCGAGAGGAAGGUGGGGAUGACGUCAAAUCAGCACGGCCCUUAUGUCCAGGGCUACACACGUGUUACAAUGGUCGGUACAAAGGGCAGCUACUUGGUGACAAGAUGCUAAUCUCCAAAACCGGUCCCAGUUCGGAUCGAAGUCUGCAACUCGACUUCGUGAAGUUGGAUUCGCUAGUAAUCGCGCAUCAGCAACGGCGCGGUGAAUACGUU